GAUGAACGCUGGCGGCGUGCCUAAUACAUGCAAGUCGAGCGAACAGAUAAGGAGCUUGCUCCUUUGACGUUAGCGGCGGACGGGUGAGUAACACGUGGAUAACCUACCUAUAAGACUGGGAUAACUUCGGGAAACCGGAGCUAAUACCGGAUAACAUAUUGAACCGCAUGGUUCAAUAGUGAAAGGCGGCUUUGCUGUCACUUAUAGAUGGAUCCGCGCCGUAUUAGCUAGUUGGUAAGGUAACGGCUUACCAAGGCAACGAGACGUAGCCGACCUGGGAGGGUGAACGGCAACACUGGACCUGAGACACGGUCCAGACUCCUACGGGAGGCAGCAGUAGGGAAGCUUCCGCAAUGGGCGAAAGCCUGACGGAGCAACGCCGCGUGAGUGAUGAAGGUCUUCGGAUCGUAAAACUCUGUUAUCAGGGAAGAACAAAUGUGUAAGUAACUGUGCACAUCUUGACGGUACCAGAUCAGAAAGCCACGGCUAACUACGUGCCAGCCGCCGCCGUAA
RNAcentral lists this ribosomal RNA (513 nucleotides) under uncultured bacterium. Its description in RNAcentral is "partial 16S ribosomal RNA". It matches the Rfam family "Bacterial small subunit ribosomal RNA", at positions 28 to 523 of the family's 1533-position model. The record is from RNAcentral.